CACACAGUGACUGUGGUGUGUGUGUGUGCGCGCGCGCGCCAACGUUACACACGCUCAGUAUGGUGCACACUGCUCUCGAGCGUCACACGCUGACCCGCGCAGUCACUACGGAACGCACACUGGUGCGCACUAGUGUGUGUGCCCACACCACACACACUGGACACUGCACUAUUGCGCACAGUUAAUGGUACACAUACUUAAUGGUACAUCCGUACACUGAUGAACAAACCCCCGUGCUACAUGCACACACUCACACAUACACUCACAUUUAUUAAUGUGCACUGAUUAAUACUUGCUGUCACACUGAACACACGCACUCUCGUACAUACACAGUUACACACUUAUUGAUAGUCACACCCAUCAUCUCUUCACCACAAACACACGCACAAACUCUCUCUCUCUGUCUCACACACACACACACACACACACAACGCCUACAUAUAUUCACAUACAUGCACCGCCACACUCAAAUUUAAAGCUCCAUUCCAGAGAUUAUAUGUGAACAUCUAAGGGGCUGAAUUCGUAGGGGUUCGUUGCAAGAGCUCGCUCGAGUCUGUGGACAAUCACGAGGGCCUUUGGAGUGUGUAGGGGAAUUGUGAACGGCCUGGUGUUUACAAAGCCUGGCUCACCUGACAGCACCGAGAAGACGGCUGCAAAUGCAUUGAGCUUGAGUCCGCAGCUGGAAUUUCGAGGGAAGCACAUCUCCAAGCCCAUCAACAGGAAACUAAUGGACAGCAAAACAAUGUAGAGAACUUCGGAGACCAGCGAGAGCCACAGUAUACCUGCACCGCAGGGGAAGAAGGAGAGGGUGUCCUGCAAGGAUCACACCAAGAGCACAAUGUGCAGCACUGAAGGAGGUGAAAAAGAAGCCAAGGGUAACAGCAAAAGACCUGCAGUAAUCUCAAGAAUUUGCUGAAGUUUCUGUUUACUAUAAGAAAAACAUUAAACAAGAAUGGUGUUCAUGGAAGGACACCAUGGAGGAAACCACUGCUCUCCAAAAAAAACAUUGCUGCACAUUUCAAGUUUGCAAAGGACCACCUGAUGUUCCACAAUGCUUCUGGGACAAUGUUCUGUGGACAGAGUUCCUCUGGCAGAUUGUGCGUUGCUCCAUCUUCUAGUGUCCUGGUGAAGGGUCCCGGCCCCAGAAGUCGACUGUUUACUCUUUUCAUAUUUGCUGCCUGGCCUGCUGAGUUCCUCCAGGGUAGAAAAUGACACAGCAUCCACACAAACCAGGGUUUGGAAUGGGAUCAAGCACACCUCAAUCUCACGAGUUUGGAGGGGCCGGAGGUUGUCUUCCCUACACUUAUGCAGCCAAGGAAACCGGGUGCUUCAAUAAGAUUAAUACAUCUGUCAGUCCUCAUCCUGAACACACUCUGUGGGAUAGGAAACUCCAGGAUGCCCCCAUCCUGUGAGAGAAAAAAAAUUCCUUCUCGCUUGCACUUGAAACCAAGUCCUCCCCAGAGGAAACAUCUCUCACCAUCCACCCUGUAGCUCCCCUUGUUUCAGUACGUUAAUCACUCAUUCACCGAACUCAGUGGUGCUGGACCCAACCUGCUCAUUCUCUCUUUGUACCAGGAAUAUAACCGGUCAAACUCCUCACUGCUGUCUCCAGAAUGAGUAUUGGACAAUGUAAGGGUAUCCUGUGAGUGACCUGGCAGUGCCAA
This is a long non-coding RNA of Mobula hypostoma (lesser devil ray), 1664 nucleotides long. RefSeq lists it as uncharacterized. The record is from RefSeq and is a predicted model, not a curated record. NCBI's taxonomy places the organism in Eukaryota, Metazoa, Chordata, Chondrichthyes, Myliobatiformes, Myliobatidae. The transcript is spliced from 4 exons.